CGAAUAAAAAUAAUAAUGAUGUACUAUUAGUAGAAUCAAAUGGAAUGAGCAAAACAUCUAUCGAGUGGUUGACCAACAAUGCAAGGGAUAAGCUAUUCUGCCACUAUUUAAAGGUGGUUAUUUUGGUAUAUUAAUGUGAGAGAAGAAAACAAUAAUUUUUAAAAUGAAAAAAAAAAAAAAGUAUUAAUAGAAUUUUACCUUUUUGUGGAGCAAAAAAUAUGCAGGGAAUUGCUAAAUUAAAAGUUUAGUUUAGUUGUCUCGCCAAUAUCUAGUUACAUAGAAAACAGUGACAGUGGAUGUCCAUGCUGCUUUUUAAAAAUAAGUACAAAUGUAAAAAAGAACCAUGUUCACAGCAUUAAAUGGUAAAUGCAAAGAAAAACAAGAAAUCCUUCCAAGAUUUUGAUUUCAUUUCAUGGUGUUUAGGAUCCAUGAAACCUUUAUGGUUGAUUUUUUUUCUUAAUUCUUAUUUUUUACUUCAUUACUUCUUUGCUAUCUCUAGUUCUUAUGCAUUUUGCUGCAUACUCUUUACAGCAUGCUUCAAAAAGUUGGUAAAAUCUAAGUUUGGUCAUAUUAUUUUUAUUUACCCAUCAAAAAAGAAAAAAUCUAAGUUGGGUCAUGAACUUCUAUUUUAUCAUUUAUUGAUUUUAUACUUGAUAAAGAUAGAACUUUUGAGGAUUUUUAGGUCCAUGUUUACAUGAGAUAUAUCUACUUGGUAUUAUGUUACAUAUAUAUUACUUACAAAGAAUUCCUCGGGCCUAGUUUUGUUAUGAAAACCUUAUUGCCCAAAUCUGAGAUGAGGCGCAAGGCUUGCUAUAAUUCCUUAUUUUUCUUUUUCUCUCUCUUCUCUUUGCCCUUGGUUAUGAAAACUUUAUUGCUUACAUCUAAGGUGAGGCAUGGGGCCUAACACAGUUCUUUUUCUUUCUUUUUCCCCCACUUUUCCCCUUAUUCUCUGAUAGGGACUCCUUGGCCUUGUCCAUUGUUCUUAUUUUUUUCCUUAUCUAUGGUAUUUCCAUGUGCAAUAAAGUAAGUGAGUCUUCUUAUAUAUUAAGCACCUAAACAGAAGUUUNNN
This 1069-nucleotide long non-coding RNA is filed under the name Vitis vinifera (wine grape). RNAcentral's name for it is "long non-coding RNA (VVIN_LNC007731)". The record is from RNAcentral. Lineage: Eukaryota; Viridiplantae; Streptophyta; Magnoliopsida; Vitales; Vitaceae.